GACAGAGGGUGCAAACGUUGCUCGGAAUCACUGGGCGUAAAGGGCGUGUAGGCGGGUAGAUAAGUCGGGCGUGAAAUCCCUAGGCUCAACCUAGGAACUGCACUCGAAACUGUUUAUCUUGAGUGCCGGAGAGGAAAGCGGAAUUCCUGGUGUAGAGGUGAAAUUCGUAGAUAUUCGCAAGAACACCAGUGGCGAAGGCGGCUCACUGGCCCGGUACUGACGCUGAGGCACGAAAGCGUGGGGAGCAAACAGG
This 253-nucleotide ribosomal RNA is filed under the name uncultured bacterium. RNAcentral describes it as "partial 16S ribosomal RNA". It matches the Rfam family "Bacterial small subunit ribosomal RNA", at positions 524 to 776 of the family's 1533-position model. The record is from RNAcentral.